AUUCUAUUGCAUCCUGCACCGUAGUGCAUGCAGAGAUGGACGAUGGAACCAGAAAUCAAUAACUAACACCCACAGACAAUAAAUUACACUUAGCCAAUCUGACAGACCGAGUGCCCGGGACGCGUAUUGCUCGCUUCCUCUGCAGUUCAUUUAAAUUUUACAGUCUUAUCAGGUGUAAAGUUUCGCGAUCGUAUUUUAAAUUUGCACACAGAGCGCAACCAUGACGACGAUGGUUGUGAGGAUCAAUCAGAUGGCGUAUGGCAAAAACUUGACAAUGAAACAACGAAGUUUAUUGCUGACCAGGAGUAACCAGGGGGACUUAACCCACGAGUACAUGCUGAUCAUCCUAAUAGGCAUGGCAUUGUACAUCCUUGUCUUCAAUGAAAGACCCAAUUAAAUAAAAUAUUCGGUUAAUUGAGACGAGUACAAUGGAUAUCAACAUUUGAA
This is a long non-coding RNA of Pectinophora gossypiella (pink bollworm), 447 nucleotides long. RefSeq lists it as uncharacterized. The record is from RefSeq and is a predicted model, not a curated record. Lineage: Eukaryota; Metazoa; Arthropoda; Insecta; Lepidoptera; Gelechiidae. The transcript has 2 exons.